Sebastes umbrosus (honeycomb rockfish) is the source of this 710-nucleotide long non-coding RNA. RefSeq lists it as uncharacterized. The transcript is spliced from 3 exons. Lineage: Eukaryota; Metazoa; Chordata; Actinopteri; Perciformes; Sebastidae. The record is from RefSeq and is a predicted model, not a curated record.
AUAUCAAAAUAUUAGCUAUUGUCAACUACAGUUGAGGAGGUAACCGCGGAGGAAGUGAAAACUAUGAUCAGAGUAAUCACUCUUAUGACUCUUAGUAACAUUGGGCUCACUUCUCAAGUGAAUUAAAUAGUGAAAAUAAACUACUCCCCAUUUUUCUGGGGACCCCCAGGAACUCCCUCAAGGACCCCUGGUUGAGAAUCACUGGUAUAGAGCACUUUUAAAAGGAAUACAUUUAGGGAAAUACGCUUAUUUGCCUUCUUGCCGAGAGUUAGAUGAGGAGAUUGAUACAUCCCACUCUUCAAUAGGAAGCUGGAGCCAGGAGACGAUUAACUUAGCUUAGCAUAGCAUAAAGACUGGAAACAGGGGGAAACAGCUAACCUGUCUAAGAAUCCACCUAUCAGUACCUCUAAAUCUCACUAACUAACACACUAUAUAUCUUGUUUGUUUAAUCUGUACAGAAAAACGACAACUUGAGUCUUGUCCUCACUGUGAUGUUGCCAUGGCAACUAGCAGAGACUCCAGGAAGUCACUGCUCCACGCUAAGAAAUAGCCCCGUUUCCAGUCUUCAUGCUAAGCUUACUGUGUCCUGACUCAAGCUUCAUACUGAGCAGACACAUAUAAAAGUGGUAUCUUCUCGUGUAACUCUGGCAAGAAAGUGAGUAAGUGUAUUUCCCCAAAAACUCUUCAAGUACAAUACGGGUAACUACAUG